This 253-nucleotide ribosomal RNA is filed under the name uncultured bacterium. Its description in RNAcentral is "partial 16S ribosomal RNA". It matches the Rfam family "Bacterial small subunit ribosomal RNA", at positions 524 to 776 of the family's 1533-position model. The record is from RNAcentral.
UACGUAGGGGGCAAGCGUUGUCCGGAAUUAUUGGGCGUAAAGAGCUCGUAGGCGGUCUGUCGCGUCGGCUGUGAAAACCCAGGGCUCAACCCUGGGCCUGCAGUCGAUACGGGCAGACUAGGGUCCGGCAGGGGAGACUGGAAUUCCUGGUGUAGCGGUGAAAUGCGCAGAUAUCAGGAGGAACACCGGUGGCGAAGGCGGGUCUCUGGGCCGGAAUUGACGCUGAGGAGCGAAAGCGUGGGGAGCGAACAGG